RNAcentral lists this ribosomal RNA (1201 nucleotides) under Bacillus sp. (in: firmicutes). RNAcentral's name for it is "bacterial SSU rRNA". It matches the Rfam family "Bacterial small subunit ribosomal RNA", at positions 35 to 1220 of the family's 1533-position model. The record is from RNAcentral. Lineage: Bacteria; Bacillati; Bacillota; Bacilli; Caryophanales; Bacillaceae.
GCAGGGGGGUGCUAUACAUGCAGUCGAGCGGACAGAUGGGAGCUUGCUCCCUGAUGUUAGCGGCGGACGGGUGAGUAACACGUGGGUAACCUGCCUGUAAGACUGGGAUAACUCCGGGAAACCGGGGCUAAUACCGGAUGGUUGUUUGAACCGCAUGGUUCAGACAUAAAAGGUGGCUUCGGCUACCACUUACAGAUGGACCCGCGGCGCAUUAGCUAGUUGGUGAGGUAACGGCUCACCAAGGCGACGAUGCGUAGCCGACCUGAGAGGGUGAUCGGCCACACUGGGACUGAGACACGGCCCAGACUCCUACGGGAGGCAGCAGUAGGGAAUCUUCCGCAAUGGACGAAAGUCUGACGGAGCAACGCCGCGUGAGUGAUGAAGGUUUUCGGAUCGUAAAGCUCUGUUGUUAGGGAAGAACAAGUGCCGUUCAAAUAGGGCGGCACCUUGACGGUACCUAACCAGAAAGCCACGGCUAACUACGUGCCAGCAGCCGCGGUAAUACGUAGGUGGCAAGCGUUGUCCGGAAUUAUUGGGCGUAAAGGGCUCGCAGGCGGUUUCUUAAGUCUGAUGUGAAAGCCCCCGGCUCAACCGGGGAGGGUCAUUGGAAACUGGGGAACUUGAGUGCAGAAGAGGAGAGUGGAAUUCCACGUGUAGCGGUGAAAUGCGUAGAGAUGUGGAGGAACACCAGUGGCGAAGGCGACUCUCUGGUCUGUAACUGACGCUGAGGAGCGAAAGCGUGGGGAGCGAACAGGAUUAGAUACCCUGGUAGUCCACGCCGUAAACGAUGAGUGCUAAGUGUUAGGGGGUUUCCGCCCCUUAGUGCUGCAGCUAACGCAUUAAGCACUCCGCCUGGGGAGUACGGUCGCAAGACUGAAACUCAAAGGAAUUGACGGGGGCCCGCACAAGCGGUGGAGCAUGUGGUUUAAUUCGAAGCAACGCGAAGAACCUUACCAGGUCUUGACAUCCUCUGACAAUCCUAGAGAUAGGACGUCCCCUUCGGGGGCAGAGUGACAGGUGGUGCAUGGUUGUCGUCAGCUCGUGUCGUGAGAUGUUGGGUUAAGUCCCGCAACGAGCGCAACCCUUGAUCUUAGUUGCCAGCAUUCAGUUGGGCACUCUAAGGUGACUGCCGGUGACAAACCGGAAGAAAGGUGGGGGAUGACGUCAAAUCAUCAUGCCCCUUAUGACCUGGGGUUACACA